UUUGGUGGCGAUGGCGGAGGGGAACCACGCGUACCCAUCCCGAACACGACCGUUAAGCCCUCCAGCGCCGAUGGUACUUGGACCGCAGGGUCCUGGGAGAGUAGGACGUCGCCAAGC
This 117-nucleotide ribosomal RNA is filed under the name Paenibacillus lignilyticus. RNAcentral also lists the same sequence under 4 other names. Lineage: Bacteria; Bacillati; Bacillota; Bacilli; Caryophanales; Paenibacillaceae. The record is from RNAcentral.